CAACCCACUGUCUGUGCUAUGACUUCAUUACUCUUUCCCAGCCCAGCCCUGGGCAAGCCCCUUACGAAGUCUCAGGCUACCUGGAUGACCAUCCUUUCUUAUGGUGCUGCAAGGAGGGCAGGUGGGCAGAGCCCUGCGCAUCCUGGGCUCAGGCCAGGGACCCAAGAGCUUGGGAGAAGCUGGUUCUCAGACUGAAGGCCAGAGCCCAGCACCUUGUCACCAUCCUGAGGAGCAUCAUGGCACACAACAACCAGAGCCAAGGCGACAGCUAGAGAGUUGACUCCUCUAUUUGAGAUUGACAGGCCUCGGAAGUCAAAAUAAGUGGUUUCCUGGACCUGGUCGAGAGCAAGUCUCUAUUGGUCCCAAAUGAGUUUUUUCAGCUGGUUUUUCAGCCAAACAGCACCUCAUCUCCCAGUGAAGGGAAGGGAAGGCUGGGCUGACAGCAGCAAGGCUGCUCAUCUCACCUCUCCCCACCCAGCCAUGCCAGCCGCCACACCUGGUGGGGAGAGGUGGGCCUCACCUGGGUCCCCUGGCAGUGGUCUGUGAAGGGUCUUGACAUUGCACUGUAAUAAUAAAGGUGUGUGUGAAGUAUC
RNAcentral lists this small RNA (593 nucleotides) under Pongo abelii (Sumatran orangutan). RNAcentral's name for it is "sense intronic". The record is from RNAcentral. Lineage: Eukaryota; Metazoa; Chordata; Mammalia; Primates; Hominidae.